UUUAAUUCAGUCAUCACCUACAUUGGUUAUUGUACUAGCUGGGAAGAUUCAAUUUUGAUGCCUUUUGGUACCUCAAGUUUGUUUUAAGGCCAGAUGGAACACAAGAUUCUCUAUAAUAGAUUCUUGUAGGAGAAAUGGGGUAAAAAAAUUGUGGUCUCCUACAUUGUGUGUUUUAGGUGGUAUUUUUCUUGUUUGUUGGGAUUUUGGUUGGCUGGAUUUUGGAGGGGGUUUAUUUGGGUUUCUAAUUUAUUUAACUAAAUCAUCUUCUACAAAGACUUGAUCUGGACUUCAAUAUACCAAAAGAGGAUCUGCCACUUUCCCAGAUAGCUUAUUCUAAUAAUUAAAUCUUCACUGUUAAUUUUCUCUGGUCUGACUUCAGCAUUCUGCUAUAGUUUUCAGUAUGCUUCCUUCAUCAAGUUAAAGAACCUUUAACUAAUUAGUACUGUUUUUCUUUAUGAAUACAGAUUUACAUAGUCUAAGGUAUUGUAAUGCUACUUCUGCAACUGUCUCAAAUCUUCCUCCCAGGAUAUUCAGUGGCUCAUGUUUCAGAGAUCCAAGGGCAUCAGUGUAAAAGUGUAAGCUUGGCUCAGACUUCUGGGAAAAUAGUUAAUUUGUGACAGAGAGCUGUGACGGAGUCUGCAGAAAAGUGCUAUGCAAGAUAUGCAAGGGAAGAUUACAGAGAGAUGAUUAUUAAUAGUUCAAAGAUGCAAAAAAAGCAUCAACAUAGAGAUACAUGAAGUCCUGGUUAGGGUGAGGAAAUACAAAUUAGAAAAUAGAGAGUGAGUGUUAAGAUGGAAAUUCAGUACUAUUAAGGAAGAAGCAAGACUGACACUUCUGACUGAUACCCAAGAUGGCGGCUGAAUGCAAGACAAGGAUGACUUUUCAAUAAGAGACAAGAAGGGAGCACUUCCCAAUCGCUGCUCUCCCUCACCCCAUUGCCAAUGCCACCAACAACUACAGGAGUUGGUAGUAGCAGAGUAUCUUCAAGAAAACCUCUUGAACUGAAAGCAGAAGUAAGAAGGUGAAAGAUUAAGUUUUCUGCACAGGACAUUUCCUCGGGAGUUAGUCAUCAGUGAAAUAAUACAGAGGACGUCACAGCUGCCUUGAACUGGCUGUACAUAGCACACGAAAAACAUGAAGCCUCUUGCCGAAGCCCAGGCUCUCGGAGUAGCAGGAAGCUCAGCCCUUAGAGCCCUUCUCAGACUCCCCACAGGACGCUGAGGAAAGAACUGACUGCUGGCAGGAACAAAAAGCAAGAGGCUGCUGAAACAUAUCACCGCAUCAUGGCCCCAAACAGACUCCGAGGGCAAAUAAAGAAGUGUUGAAACUCAGCCUUGAGAGAAAAUUUCGC
This is a long non-coding RNA of Poecile atricapillus (Black-capped chickadee), 1351 nucleotides long. RefSeq lists it as uncharacterized. The transcript has 3 exons. The record is from RefSeq and is a predicted model, not a curated record. Lineage: Eukaryota; Metazoa; Chordata; Aves; Passeriformes; Paridae.